GAGUAACACGUGAGCAACCUGCCCCUGACUCUGGGAUAAGCGCUGGAAACGGCGUCUAAUACUGGAUAUGUGACCUGACCGCAUGGGCUGCGUUUGGAAAGAUUUUUCGGCUGGGGAUGGGCUCGCGGCCAAUCAGCUUGUUGGUGAGGUAAUGGCUCACCAAGGCGUCGACGGGUAGCCGGCCUGAGAGGGUGACCUGCCGCACUGGGACUGAUACACGGCCCCCACUCCUACUGGAAGCAGCCCCGGGGAAUAUUGCACGAUGGGCCAAAGCCUGAUGCUGCAACGCCACAAGAAGGAUGACGGCCUUCGGGUUGUAAACCUCUUUUUCUCAGGAAGAAGCGAAAGUGACGGUACCUGCAGAAAAAGCGCCGGCUAACUACGUGCCAGACAGCCGCGGUAAUACGUAUGGCGCAUGCGUUAUCCGGAAUUAGUGGGCGUAAAUAGCUCGAAGGCGGUUUGUCGCUCCUGCUGUGAAAUCCCUACGCUCAACCUCCGGCCUGCAUUGGGUACGGGCACACUAUAGUGCGGUAGGGGAGAUUGUAAUUCCUGUUGUACCGGUGGAAUGCGCAGAUAUCAGGACGAACACCGAUGGAGAAUGCCGAUCUGUACGACGAGGCUGUCUCUGACGAGUUAAUCGGCGGGGAGCAAACCCGCUUAGAUACCCUGGUACUCCACCCCUGACACGUUGGGAACUGUUCCUCCGGUCCUUUCCACAUAUUCCGUCACGCAGCUGAAUUAUUAAGUUCCCCGCCUGGGGAGUACCGGCGCGUGGCUACUGCUCAACGAUUGACGGCGACCCGAUUUAGCGGCGGAGCAUGCAGACUGACUACGAUGCUAUGUACACCACCUAUAUUCCAGGAUUAGACAUUGUACGCAGUACGGUUCACAACUGCUGCAGG
This 902-nucleotide ribosomal RNA is filed under the name Microbacterium paraoxydans. Its description in RNAcentral is "bacterial SSU rRNA". It matches the Rfam family "Bacterial small subunit ribosomal RNA", at positions 108 to 1047 of the family's 1533-position model. The record is from RNAcentral. Lineage: Bacteria; Bacillati; Actinomycetota; Actinomycetes; Micrococcales; Microbacteriaceae.